Molecule: ribosomal RNA, 407 nt
Filed under: uncultured bacterium
Lineage: Bacteria
Description: bacterial SSU rRNA
Rfam family: Bacterial small subunit ribosomal RNA
Source: RNAcentral
AUUGAACGCUGGCGGCAUGCUUUACACAUGCAAGUCGAGCGGCAGCGCGGGGGGCAACCCUGGCGGCGAGCGGCGAACGGGUGAGGAAACCAUCGGAACGUGCCCGAGAGUGGGGGGAUAACGCCGCGAAAGCGGCGCUAAUACCGCAUAUUCUCUGAGGAGGAAAGUGGGGGGACCGCAAGGCCUCACGCUCCCGGAGCGGCCGAUGUCGGAUUAGCUAGUUGGUGGGGUAAAGGCUUACCAAGGCGACGAUCCGUAGCUGGUCUGAGAGGAUGAUCAGCCACACUGGGACUGAGACACGGCCCAGACUCCUACGGGAGGCAGCAGUGGGGAAUUUUGGACAAUGGGCGCAAGCCUGAUCCAGCCAUGCCGCGUGCGGGAAGAAGGCCUCGGUGUAACGCUUUGUC